GACGAACCGUGCGAACGUUAUUCGGAAUCAUUGGGCUUAAAGGGCGCGUAGGCGGCGGCGUAAGUUGGAAGUGAAAUCCCAUCGGCUCAACCGUGGAAUUGCUCCCAGUACUGCGUCGCUCGAGGGGGAUAGGGGUCUGCGGAACUACCGGUGGAGCGGUGAAAUGUGUUGAUAUCGGUGGGAACGCCAGUGGCGAAAGCGGCAGACUGGACCCUUCCUGACGCUGAGUGCGCGAAAGCUAGGGGAGCAAACGGG
Molecule: ribosomal RNA, 255 nt
Filed under: uncultured bacterium
Lineage: Bacteria
Description: partial 16S ribosomal RNA
Rfam family: Bacterial small subunit ribosomal RNA
Source: RNAcentral